This 459-nucleotide ribosomal RNA is filed under the name uncultured bacterium. Its description in RNAcentral is "bacterial SSU rRNA". It matches the Rfam family "Bacterial small subunit ribosomal RNA", at positions 338 to 796 of the family's 1533-position model. The record is from RNAcentral.
CCUACGGGUGGCAGCAGUUAAGAAUCUUGCGCAAUGGGCGAAAGCCUGACGCAGCCAUGUCGCGUGAACGAUGAAGGUCUUCGGAUUGUAAAGUUUAUUAAACUGGGAAGAAUAAGCAUAGUAAAUCUAUGUGAUGACGGUACCAGUCUACAGCCCCGGCUAAACACGUGCCAGCAGCCGCGGUAAUACGUGUGGGGCAAGCGUUGUUCGGAAUUAUUGGGCGUAAAGGGCACGCAGGCGGAUUAUUAAGUUAGGUGUUUAAGAUUUGAGCUCAACUCAAAACCUGCAUCUAAUACUGAUAAUCUUGAGUUUUAGAGAGGAAAGUGGAAUUUUCGGUGUAGCGGUGGAAUGCGUAGAUAUCGAGAGGAACAUCAGUGGCGAAGGCGACUUUCUGGAUAAUAACUGACGCUGAGGUGCGAAAGUGUGGGUAGCAAACAGGAUUAGAUACCCUUGUAGUCC